UGGGCGUAAGCGAGCGCAGGCGGUUUUUUAAGUCUGAUGUGAAAGCCCUCGGCUUAACCGAGGAAGUGCAUCGGAAACUGGGAAACUUGAGUGCAGAAGAGGACAGUGGAACUCCAUGUGUAGCGGUGAAAUGCGUAGAUAUAUGGAAGAACACCAGUGGCGAAGGCGGCUGUCUGGUCUGUAACUGACGCUGAGGCUCGAAAGCAUGGGUAGCGAACAGGAUUAGAUACCC
Molecule: ribosomal RNA, 232 nt
Filed under: Lacticaseibacillus rhamnosus
Lineage: Bacteria; Bacillati; Bacillota; Bacilli; Lactobacillales; Lactobacillaceae
Description: Lactobacillus rhamnosus partial 16S ribosomal RNA
Rfam family: Bacterial small subunit ribosomal RNA
Source: RNAcentral